GGAGAGUUGUCCGAGCUGGUCGAAGGAGCACGAUUGGAAAUCGUGUAAGCUGCUAAAACGGCUUCGAGGGUUCGAAUCCCUUGCUCUCCGCCA
RNAcentral lists this transfer RNA (93 nucleotides) under Clostridiaceae bacterium. RNAcentral's name for it is "tRNA-Ser". It matches the Rfam family "tRNA". From Rfam's summary of the family: Transfer RNA (tRNA) molecules are approximately 80 nucleotides in length. Their secondary structure includes four short double-helical elements and three loops (D, anti-codon, and T loops). Further hydrogen bonds mediate the characteristic L-shaped molecular structure. tRNAs have two regions of fundamental functional importance: the anti-codon, which is responsible for specific mRNA codon recognition, and the 3' end, to which the tRNAs corresponding amino acid is attached (by aminoacyl-tRNA synthetases). tRNAs cope with the degeneracy of the genetic code in two manners: having more than one tRNA (with a specific anti-codon) for a particular amino acid; and 'wobble' base-pairing, i.e. permitting non-standard base-pairing at the 3rd anti-codon position. The record is from RNAcentral. Lineage: Bacteria; Bacillati; Bacillota; Clostridia; Eubacteriales; Clostridiaceae. RNAcentral also lists the same sequence under 2 other names.